This 468-nucleotide ribosomal RNA is filed under the name uncultured bacterium. Its description in RNAcentral is "partial 16S ribosomal RNA". It matches the Rfam family "Bacterial small subunit ribosomal RNA", at positions 28 to 507 of the family's 1533-position model. The record is from RNAcentral.
GACGAACGCUGGCGGCGUGCUUAACACAUGCAAGUCGAACGGAAAGGCCCUGCUUUUGUGGGGUGCUCGAGUGGCGAAAGGGUGAGUAACACGUGAGUAACCUGCCCUUGACUUUGGGAUAACUUCAGGAAACUGGGGCUAAUACCGGAUAGGAGCUCCUGCUGCAUGGUGGGGGUUGGAAAGUUUCGGCGGUUGGGGAUGGACUCGCGGCUUAUCAGCUUGUUGGUGGGGUAGUGGCUUACCAAGGCUUUGACGGGUAGCCGGCCUGGGAGGGUGACCGGCCACAUUGGGACUGAGGUGCGGCCCAGACUCCUACGGGAGGCAGCAGUGGGGAAUAUUGCACAAUGGGCGGAAGCCUGAUGCAGCAACGCCGCGUGCGGGAUGACGGCCUUCGGGUUGUAAACCGCUUUCGCCUGUGACGAAGCGUGAGUGACGGUAAUGGGUAAAGAAGCACCGGCUAACUACGUG